Long non-coding RNA from Lepidothrix coronata (blue-crowned manakin), 515 nucleotides. RefSeq lists it as uncharacterized. The record is from RefSeq and is a predicted model, not a curated record. The transcript is spliced from 4 exons. NCBI's taxonomy places the organism in Eukaryota, Metazoa, Chordata, Aves, Passeriformes, Pipridae.
ACAGCAGUGAAACUUGACUAAGUUAAGUAGCUCACAGAGAGCCUAAACCACUCCUACGAGGAUUCUGUGUUGCUGCAUUUGUCAGGAGACCUGUAAAUCAAUAAGAACAAAUGAGCUGCAAUGGCCCACAGCUACAAGCAACAGCAUAAAGUGCUGAUGGACUGUGUGUUCAGUGUUUCAUAAUGUGCUUCUCUACCAUACUGGUCCCAGGAUGAAGAGAGAACUCAGUAGUCCUGCUGAUUCUCCUGAGACCAUUGUAACUGGCUUAUUUCCCAGACAUCUCUGUAAAGGAUAUUUGGCUCAUAGAAAAUAUAACAUAUAGUGUCCUAAAGUGAAAAGUGAGGCAGAACACUUCUGUCUGGUUCUACGUGUCAAAAGCGUGCACAGCGAGAAGUAGAGCAGAAUACCUGACUUCUGAUGAAUUGGAUUGGUAGAAGUUUGGACAGCCCCAAACCCUAGAGGUUCCCAGAACUAUUAGUCCCUAGGCAGCUAACUUGCAAAAUGACAUUCAGACU